Amblyraja radiata (thorny skate) is the source of this 893-nucleotide long non-coding RNA. RefSeq lists it as uncharacterized. The transcript is spliced from 3 exons. NCBI's taxonomy places the organism in Eukaryota, Metazoa, Chordata, Chondrichthyes, Rajiformes, Rajidae. The record is from RefSeq and is a predicted model, not a curated record.
AUCCGGGAAGACAAAAGCUUCCUGGACAGGACCUACAGUCAGGUUGUCACUCCAGGAGUACUAGCGGUGUGAGGGUUAGAGACGGAAAGGAAGGGGAUGAAACUAGUGCUGGAGACCUCGGUGGAAGUGUCUCUUGAAAACAGACCCAGAGAAGGCAUCAAAGCUUUCAGUGCGAUCAACCUUUAACCCCGCACAGAAACAGUGAAGGACAUGUGUUCGUAAAGGCCUUGUGAAAGGUCAGUCUGAAUAAAAAGGCAAAUCCUUUGCAAUGGCAUGGAGCAGCGAUAUUCCGCCUGACCUUCUGAGGUUUUCCGAGCGUUUUCUGCUCUUAUUUAAUGUAGAGAAAUUCACAUUGGAGAAUGAAAUGAUACAGGACAAAGAAGCCCAGCUUUAUCAAGACCAAUCAAACACAAUCAGAGACCACUGCUGUUUCUGUGUGUGCUUUGAGAAACCAAUUGGAUUUUAAAGCAAAUCAUAUCGAAGGCUGCUCUCAACAUCUCCUUGCUGGUAGCUCGUCACAGAUUUAUGUACAAGUUAGACACAAGAAAAGGAACAAAGGAAUCGGGAAGAAAAGAAAGAAAUUACAGAUCCACAUCAAACAUCAAAAAUGAACGGAGAAAUAUUCUGGCCAAGGCAACUAUAACACACCCUUGCAUUGCCUUUAUUUUCAUGUUGUGUUCCUUUAAAUGUAUGUGUUUGAAGUCUUUUUUUCAGACUCUUUGAAAAAUAAACUCUCAGAGAGAUAGAAGACACAUUCUCAUUCAUUUGCCAGAGGUGAGGCUUUGAUCAUGAACUUUCACAAUAAUGUCACCAGCUGCAGAUGGCUUUUACUAAAGUGCAUUUUUGAAAGUGUGCUUGGUUCGAGUCCCGUAAAGAUAUAAGAUAUGAGAAAC